This is a long non-coding RNA of Erinaceus europaeus (western European hedgehog), 1336 nucleotides long. RefSeq lists it as uncharacterized. The transcript is spliced from 4 exons. Lineage: Eukaryota; Metazoa; Chordata; Mammalia; Eulipotyphla; Erinaceidae. The record is from RefSeq and is a predicted model, not a curated record.
GGGCCCCGAGAACCCAAAUUUCAGAGGGAGAUCAAAGGCUCAGCUCUCACACUUCCCUGAGCGGGAGUAGCAGAACCAUAAGAGUUGUAUAAGACUGUCGCCUAUGGAAAUUUUGGAGAAUUAUCUUAGGAAUUUGGGAGAUUUCUGUUUUCUAACCAUCAAAAUAGCCGCACUGAGGGUCCCACCAAGUCUUAUCCAGGUCCUUUGCCAUCAUGUUCCGGGACCUGAAACCAAAGCACUGCUCAGCUCUUAGCUUAUGGUGGUGUGAGUGGAUUAAAAACACCCCCUUCCUCUUCUGUCUUCAAGUGUGGCUUCAAUGAAGAUCAACUCUACAGGUCUGAAACUAAGAAGAAAUUAACUGGGACGCGCGCCUCCUAGUGGUCAUGUCCCCACCGGCAAUGAGCUAAUCAAGAACUACCAAUUUAGACAAAUCUACAAGCCUCAACACAGGUGAAUCUGAAUCUCACAGUGAAUCUUAAACCACUACCAUGAUUCAACAGAUCUUGGCUUCUGUGUUAUUUAUUAACUCUCCUAAUGGCUGUGAUACAUACCAAAGUUUGAUACACCUUUAAAGAAUAAAAAGCUAUACAUCAUAACAGGAGAAAAUCCAAUAAAUUAUCAAGCACGAAAUCUUCUUUCUUACUUUGUUAUCUUUGAAGAGAUAUUAGGUGCCCAGGAGAACAUCUCUGAGACAAGAUAGUAGUAGAAGUAAAAAUAUACUGAGACUGAGACAAAAUUAGCAACUAUGUUUUAUAAUUAAGAAAUCUCUACCAGGUGGGGGAAAAAAAUCUUUCUCCAAAUGUACUAUUUCUUUUUUUUUUUAUCAUCUAUUUAUCUGUCAUAUAUAUAUUUAUUUAUUAUUUUUGAACCAUGGUUGUUCCUGAGGUUCUGCAACUGAGUGCUUCCACAAUUCCCUGAAGCCAAUUUCUCUUUUUCCGUCCCUUUGGUACCUCUGUUUCUUUCUUUCCCUAGCAUCUUUUCUUCUUUCUUUCUUUCUUUCUUUUUGUCUUUCUUUCUUCCUUCCUUCCUUCCUUCCUUCCCCUCUUCCUCCCUUUCUCCCUUCUUUCCUUUUUUUUUUAAAUAAUUCAUUUCUUUAUUGGGGAAUUAAUGUUUUACAUUCAACAGUAAAUACAAUAGUUUGUACAUGCAUAACAUUCACCAGAUUCCCAUUUAACAAUACAACCCCCACUAUGUCAUUCAUCAUCUUUCAUGGACCUGUAUUCUCCCCACCCACCCACCCACCCACCCCAGAGUCUUUUACUUUGGUGUAAUACUCCAAAAAUGUACUAUUUCUUUGUCCUAAAAUGUUAAGUUUUCUACUCGUAGCGGUUCUCAA